GAACAUAAUAAUCAGUUUACUACAUAUGUUGCAAGUCUGCCAAAUCUUCAUCAACAACAAGUAUUACAACUUUUAGUUGAAAAUAAUUUAAGAGCAAAGAAAUGCGAGAAAAUGCUGCAAAAUAUAACAGAAAAAACAUUAACGAACAGAAACAUGACAACAUCAAUAUCAGACAUAAAUGUGGACACUGAUGGUUUUUAUCCCAAGUAUCUUCCUGCACAAACACUUGCAGAUUUUCAUGCGGCUGAAGAUAAAUGGAAGAUAGAUAAAGGGUACAGAAAAAAUGUAUUGGAACUAUUUGUAAAAUGUAAAGGUAAUGACAUAAAAAACUACGUAUACCAUCAUGGGAAAAUUAAUGUCGGAUAGUGUAGCUAUGCUAUGUAGUUCGACUGGAGCAAAACAGAAUAAAGAAAAACUUGAGGAGUCAUCAAUUCACAAAGUUCUAGAAAGAAUUAUAAUGCAAUUGCAUAACGAUGCAACGCUAUAUGGAAUAAAAAAGUGUAUAACUGAUUGGCUAAGACAUGCUAAGGAAAGACAUGGAAACCUUCAAAUGAUAAUGACCAAGCGUGACUUAUCAAUAAUAUUACUUUAAGCGUUGUUAUAUUUAAGAAAUACUUUUAAGAGAUACGUUUUUUAAAGCUAUUUACAAUUAUGUUAUUUUUAAGAAACACUUUUGAGAGUUAUGUUUUUAGAGCGGCUAUUUACAGUUGUGUUAUUUUUAAAAAGUACCUUUGAGAGUUAUGUUUUUAGAGCGGCUAUUUACAGUUGUGUUAUUUUUAAGAAGUACUUUUGAGAGUUAUGUUUUUAAAGUGACUAACUUACAAAAUGUACUUCGAAUUGUCUUUGUAGCGGUAU
Molecule: long non-coding RNA, 855 nt
Organism: Cataglyphis hispanica
Lineage: Eukaryota; Metazoa; Arthropoda; Insecta; Hymenoptera; Formicidae
Exons: 3
Source: RefSeq, a predicted model, not a curated record